Molecule: ribosomal RNA, 553 nt
Filed under: uncultured bacterium
Lineage: Bacteria
Description: bacterial SSU rRNA
Rfam family: Bacterial small subunit ribosomal RNA
Source: RNAcentral
CUAUGGAAUCUUCGGCAAUGGGGGCUACCCUGACCGAGCAACGCCGCGUGAGUGAGGAAGGUUUUCGGAUCGUAAAGCUCUGUUGUAAGUCAAGAACGAGUGUGAGAGUGGAAAGUUCACACUGUGACGGUAGCUUACCAGAAAGGGACGGCUAACUUCGUGCCAGCAGCCGCGGUAAUACGUAGGUCCCGAGCGUUGUCCGGAUUUAUUGGGCGUAAAGCGAGCGCAGGCGGUUUGAUAAGUCUGAAGUUAAAGGCUGUGGCUCAACCAUAGUUCGCUUUGGAAACUGUCAAACUUGAGUGCAGAAGGGGAGAGUGGAAUUCCAUGUGUAGCGGUGAAAUGCGUAGAUAUAUGGAGGAACACCGGUGGCGAAAGCGGCUCUCUGGUCUGUAACUGACGCUGAGGCUCGAAAGCGUGGGGAGCGAACAGGAUUAGAUACCCUGGUAGUCCACGCCGUAAACGAUGAGUGCUAGGUGUUGGAUCCUUUCCGGGAUUCAGUGCCGCAGCUAACGCAUUAAGCACUCCGCCCUGGGGAGUACGACCGCAAGGUUGA